This 253-nucleotide ribosomal RNA is filed under the name uncultured bacterium. RNAcentral describes it as "partial 16S ribosomal RNA". It matches the Rfam family "Bacterial small subunit ribosomal RNA", at positions 524 to 776 of the family's 1533-position model. The record is from RNAcentral.
UACGUAGGUGGCAAGCGUUGUUCGGAAUUACUGGGCGUAAAGGGUGCGUAGGCGGUCCGCUAAGUUGGAUGUGAAAACUCUGGGCUUAACCCAGAGCCUGCAUUCAAAACUGACGGGCUAGAGUUCUGGAGGGGGUAGCGGAAUUCCUGGUGUAGCGGUGAAAUGCGUAGAUAUCAGGAGGAACACCGGUGGCGAAGGCGGCUACCUGGACAGAAACUGACGCUGAGGCACGAAAGCUAGGGGAGCAAACAGG